This 458-nucleotide ribosomal RNA is filed under the name uncultured bacterium. RNAcentral describes it as "partial 16S ribosomal RNA". It matches the Rfam family "Bacterial small subunit ribosomal RNA", at positions 29 to 507 of the family's 1533-position model. The record is from RNAcentral.
AACGAACGCUGGCGGCAUGCCUAACACAUGCAAGUCGAACGAGACCUUCGGGUCUAGUGGCGCACGGGUGCGUAACGCGUGGGAACCUGCCCUUAGGUUCGGAAUAACUCCCCGAAAGGGGUGCUAAUACCGGAUAAUGUCUUCGGACCAAAGAUUUAUCGCCUUUGGAUGGGCCCGCGUUGGAUUAGCUAGUUGGUAGGGUAAAAGCCUACCAAGGCGACGAUCCGUAGCUGGUCUGAGAGGAGGAUCAGCCACCCGGGGAGUGAGACACGGCCGAGACACCGAGGGGAGGCAGCAGGGGGGAAUAUUGGACAAUGGGGGCGAGGCUGAUACAGGAAGAUGGGGUGGGGGAAGAAGGCGUUAGGGUUGGAGAGAGAUUUUGUUGGGAAAGAAAAGCAGCAGGUUAAUACGCCGCGGUUCUGACGGUACCGAAAGAAUAAGCACCGGCUAACUACGUG